GAUGAACGCUGGCGGCGUGCCUAAUACAUGCCAGUCGAGCGAACGGACGAGAAGUUUGCUUCUCUGAUGUUAGCGGCGGACGGGUGAGUAACACGUGGAUAACCUACCUAUAAGACUGGGAAAACUUCGGGAAACCGGAGCUAAUACCGGAUAAUAUUUUGAACCGCAUGGUUCAAAAGUGAAAGACGGUCUUGCUGUCACUUAUAGAUGGAUCUGCGCUGCAUUAGCUAGUUGGUAAGGUAACGGCUUACCAAGGCAACGAUGCAUAGCCGACCUGAGAGGGUGGUCGGCCACACUGGAACUGAGACACGGUCCAGACUCCUACGGGAGGCAGCAGUAGGGAAUCUUCCGCAGUGGGCGAGAGCCUGACGGAGCAACGCCGCGUGAGUGAUGAAGGUCUUCGGAUCGUAAAACUCUGUUAUUAGGGAAGAACAUAUGUGUAAGUAACUGUGCACAUCUUGACGGUACCUAAUCAGAAAGCCACGGCUAACUACGUG
This 497-nucleotide ribosomal RNA is filed under the name uncultured bacterium. RNAcentral's name for it is "partial 16S ribosomal RNA". It matches the Rfam family "Bacterial small subunit ribosomal RNA", at positions 28 to 507 of the family's 1533-position model. The record is from RNAcentral.